UUCCUACGGGACGCAGCAGUGAGGAAUAUUGGUCAAUGGUCGGGAGACUGAACCAGCCAAGCCGCGUGAGGGAGGAAGGUACAGAGUAUCGUAAACCUCUUUUGUCAGGGAACAAAGACUGGGACGCGUCCCCGGAUGAGUGUACCUGAAGAAAAAGCAUCGGCUAACUCCGUGCCAGCAGCCGCGGUAAUACGGAGGAUGCGAGCGUUAUCCGGAAUGAUUGGGCGUAAAGGGUGCGUAGGCGGCCUGCUAAGUCUGGAGUGAAAGGUACCGGCUCAACCGGUACAGGCCCUGGAAACUGGCGG
Molecule: ribosomal RNA, 305 nt
Filed under: uncultured bacterium
Lineage: Bacteria
Description: bacterial SSU rRNA
Rfam family: Bacterial small subunit ribosomal RNA
Source: RNAcentral